GAAGGCAUAGCUCAGUAGUAGAGCACAUGCUUAGCGUGCACAAGGUCCUGGGUUCAAUCCCUAGCACCUCCA
Molecule: transfer RNA, 72 nt
Filed under: Camelus bactrianus (Bactrian camel)
Lineage: Eukaryota; Metazoa; Chordata; Mammalia; Artiodactyla; Camelidae
Also listed under: 2 other names
Rfam family: tRNA
About the family: Transfer RNA (tRNA) molecules are approximately 80 nucleotides in length. Their secondary structure includes four short double-helical elements and three loops (D, anti-codon, and T loops).
Source: Rfam by way of RNAcentral